AAAUUGAAGAGUUUGAUCAUGGCUCAGAUUGAACGCUGGCGGCAGGCCUAACACAUGCAAGUCGAACGGUAACAGGAAGCAGCUUGCUGCUUUGCUGACGAGUGGCGGACGGGUGAGUAAUGUCUGGGAAAAUGCCUGAUGGAGGGGGAUAACUACUGGAAACGGUGGCUAAUACCGCAUAACGUCGCAAGACCAAAGAGGGGGACCUUCGGGCCUCUUGCCAUCAGAUGUGCCCAGAUGGGAUUAGCUUGUUGGUGAGGUAACGGCUCACCAAGGCGACGAUCCCUAGCUGGUCUGAGAGGAUGACCAGCCACACUGGAACUGAGACACGGUCCAGACUCCUACGGGAGGCAGCAGUGGGGAAUAUUGCACAAUGGGCGCAAGCCUGAUGCAGCCAUGCCGCGUGUAUGAAGAAGGCCUUCGGGUUGUAAAGUACUUUCAGCGGGGAGGAAGGUGUUGUGGUUAAUAACCGCAGCAAUUGACGUUACCCGC
RNAcentral lists this ribosomal RNA (492 nucleotides) under Salmonella enterica. RNAcentral's name for it is "bacterial SSU rRNA". It matches the Rfam family "Bacterial small subunit ribosomal RNA", at positions 1 to 482 of the family's 1533-position model. Lineage: Bacteria; Pseudomonadati; Pseudomonadota; Gammaproteobacteria; Enterobacterales; Enterobacteriaceae. The record is from RNAcentral.